CACCGCGGUUAUACGAGGGACCCAAGCUGACAGAUAUCGGCGUAAAGAGUGGUUACGGAAAAUUAUUACUAAAGUUAAACACCCCUUAAGCUGUUAUACGCAUAGAGAGGCAGGAUACCCAACCACGAAAGUGACUUUAAUAUGCCCGAACCCACCUAAGCUAUGAAA
RNAcentral lists this ribosomal RNA (168 nucleotides) under Anotopterus pharao (daggertooth). Its description in RNAcentral is "partial small subunit ribosomal RNA". The record is from RNAcentral. Lineage: Eukaryota; Metazoa; Chordata; Actinopteri; Aulopiformes; Alepisauridae.